Enterococcus faecium DO is the source of this 209-nucleotide non-coding RNA. The record is from Rfam. NCBI's taxonomy places the organism in Bacteria, Bacillati, Bacillota, Bacilli, Lactobacillales, Enterococcaceae.
GAGAACUGAUAAUCUGACAGGUGGAAUGAUGAAGUAACGCUCUGAAACGCCUGCCCUGAGCCUCCGACAAGCAUUGUAUGAGGAAACUCAGAAUGUUUGAAGCUCGGUAAAGACGGCUGAAAGAUACCGUAAUAGUUGAUGAACAUAUAUCUUCUAUCGAAAACUAUCCAGAGGUGGGUAGCGUAUCCAACAGGUCGGGGGUCUAUAAA